Molecule: ribosomal RNA, 477 nt
Filed under: uncultured bacterium
Lineage: Bacteria
Description: bacterial SSU rRNA
Rfam family: Bacterial small subunit ribosomal RNA
Source: RNAcentral
CUCAGGAUGAACGCUAGCUACAGGCUUAACACAUGCAAGUCGAGGGUUUGCUUCGGCAAACGACCGGCGCACGGGUGAGUAACGCGUAUCCAACCUGCCAUUCAUAUUGGGAUAGCCCUCCGAAAGGAGGAUUAAUACCGAAUAACAUAUUGUUGUUGCAUGAUAUCAAUAUGAAAGCUGAGGCGAUGAAUGAUGGGGAUGCGUUCCAUUAGGUAGUAGGCGGGGUAACGGCCCACCUAGCCAACGAUGGAUAGGGGUUCUGAGAGGAAGGUCCCCCACACUGGAACUGAGACACGGUCCAGACUCCUACGGGAGGCAGCAGUGAGGAAUAUUGGUCAAUGGGCGCAAGCCUGAACCAGCCAAGUAGCGUGAAGGAUGACUGCCCUAUGGGUUGUAAACUUCUUUUAUACGGGAACAAUCGCAGGUACGUGUACCUGUCUGCGUGUACCGUAUGAAUAAGCAUCGGCUAACUCCGUG